Molecule: transfer RNA, 59 nt
Filed under: Perkinsus olseni
Lineage: Eukaryota; Perkinsozoa; Perkinsida; Perkinsidae
Description: tRNA-Arg
Rfam family: tRNA
About the family: Transfer RNA (tRNA) molecules are approximately 80 nucleotides in length. Their secondary structure includes four short double-helical elements and three loops (D, anti-codon, and T loops). Further hydrogen bonds mediate the characteristic L-shaped molecular structure. tRNAs have two regions of fundamental functional importance: the anti-codon, which is responsible for specific mRNA codon recognition, and the 3' end, to which the tRNAs corresponding amino acid is attached (by aminoacyl-tRNA synthetases). tRNAs cope with the degeneracy of the genetic code in two manners: having more than one tRNA (with a specific anti-codon) for a particular amino acid; and 'wobble' base-pairing, i.e. permitting non-standard base-pairing at the 3rd anti-codon position.
Source: RNAcentral
UAGUUCAGCUGGAUAGAAUGUCUGCCUACGGAGCAGAUGGUCGUAGGUUCGAAUCCUGC